RNAcentral lists this long non-coding RNA (308 nucleotides) under Physcomitrium patens. Its description in RNAcentral is "long non-coding RNA (PPAT_LNC008570)". Lineage: Eukaryota; Viridiplantae; Streptophyta; Bryopsida; Funariales; Funariaceae. The record is from RNAcentral.
AUCUAUUUAUUUUGUAAUUAGAUUGCAUAAAACGAUGUAAUAAUAUCAAAUAAUUAAAAUAUAAUCUGAUAUCUUAAAGUUUCCAAGGUAAUCUUGGGAAAGUAGGCCUAGUAGGUUGCAUUGAGAGUACAAAAAAUGGUAGGAAAGAGAGUCUUGGGGGCCUCUUGCUCUCAACUUCAACAACAAACAAUGCAAAUAUCACUCCAAGGACUAACCUCAGUGCAUCCAUGAUCAUAUCCACAAAAUCAUUGCCAAGUUCCACAAAUUCUGCAAUACACAAGGCAAGGAAAACAAAACUCAACUUGUAG